GGGAGAAGCAUUGUUAAGGAACUCGGCAAAAUGACUCCGUAACUUCGGAAUAAGGAGUAGCUUUAUUUGGGAAACCUUUUAAAGCUGUCACAAAAUCGAGGACAGCGACUGGUUAAUAAAACCACAGGUUUCUGCAAACUUGCAAAAGUACGUAUAGAAACUGACGCCUGCCCAGUGCUGCAAGUGUAAAAAAACAGGUUAUUUAGCUUGUUUUCUAAAACCCAGUAAACGGCGGCUGUAACUCUGACGGUCCUAAGGUAGCGAAAUUCUUUGGCAUUUAAUUGGUGUCCUGCAUGAAUGGCGUAACGACUGUCCUACUGUCUCCAGCACAAGUUCAGUGAAAUUGAAUUCUCCGUGAAGAUGCGGAGUAUCUGCGGCUAGACGGAAAGACCCCGUGAACCUUUACUAUAGCUUGACAGUGAACUUGAAGCCUGGAUGUGUAGGAUAGGUGGGAGACUUUGAAGCGUGAACGCCAGUUUGCGUGGAGUCAUCCUUGAAAUACCACCCUUGCAUGUUUUGAGUUCUAACGCAGGUCCAUGAUCUGGAUCGCGGACACUGUCUGGUGGGUAGUUUGACUGGGGCGGUCUCCUCCCAAAGAGUAACGGAGGAGCACGAAGGUUGGCUAAGUAUGGUCGGACAUCAUACGGUUAGUGCAAUGGCAUAAGCCAGCUUAACUGCGAGACGGACGUGUCGAGCAGGUACGAAAGUAGGUCAUAGUGAU
Molecule: ribosomal RNA, 721 nt
Filed under: Cyclophora tenuis
Lineage: Eukaryota; Bacillariophyta; Fragilariophyceae; Cyclophorales; Cyclophoraceae
Description: partial Bacterial large subunit ribosomal RNA
Rfam family: Bacterial large subunit ribosomal RNA
Source: RNAcentral